GGAGAAGUGGGAGAGUGGCUUAAUCCAAGUCUUUGCUAAAGACUCGUACUUACAAAAUAGGUACCGUGGGUUCAAAUCCCACCUUCUCCGCCA
This 93-nucleotide transfer RNA is filed under the name Bdellovibrio sp. RNAcentral describes it as "tRNA-Ser". It matches the Rfam family "tRNA". Rfam says of the family: Transfer RNA (tRNA) molecules are approximately 80 nucleotides in length. The record is from RNAcentral. Lineage: Bacteria; Pseudomonadati; Bdellovibrionota; Bdellovibrionia; Bdellovibrionales; Pseudobdellovibrionaceae.